Molecule: ribosomal RNA, 494 nt
Filed under: uncultured bacterium
Lineage: Bacteria
Description: partial 16S ribosomal RNA
Rfam family: Bacterial small subunit ribosomal RNA
Source: RNAcentral
GACGAACGCUGGCGGCGUGCUUAACACAUGCAAGUCGAACGGAAAGGCCUGCUUUCCCUUGUGGAUUGCGGGUACUCGAGUGGCGAACGGGUGAGUAACACGUGAGUGAUCUGCCCCCAACUUGGGUAUAAGCCUGGGAAACUGGGUCUAAUUCCCGAUAGGACUGCAGGGUGGUGCCUGUUGUGGAAAACGAUUUUCUAGUGGUUGGGGAUGAGCUCGCGGCCUAUCAGCUUGUUGGUGGGGUAAUGGCCUACCAAGGCGGCGACGGGUAGCCGGCCUGAGAGGGUGGACGGCCACAUUGGGACUGAGAUACGGCCCAGACUCCUACGGGAGGCAGCAGUGGGGAAUAUUGCACAAGGGGCGGAAGCCUGAUGCAGCGACGCCGCGUGGGGGAUGACGGCCUUCGGGUUGUAAACUCCUUUCGACCGCGAGGAAGCCACCUGGUUGGAAGGGUGGUGACGGUAGUGGUAGAAGAAGCACCGGCUAACUACGUG